GGGGUUGUGGCUCAGUGGUAGAGCACUUUCCUUGCAUGUGUGAAGCACUGUGUUCAAUUCUCAGCACCCCA
RNAcentral lists this transfer RNA (71 nucleotides) under Marmota marmota marmota (Alpine marmot). It matches the Rfam family "tRNA". From Rfam's summary of the family: Transfer RNA (tRNA) molecules are approximately 80 nucleotides in length. The record is from Rfam by way of RNAcentral. RNAcentral also lists the same sequence under 1 other name. Lineage: Eukaryota; Metazoa; Chordata; Mammalia; Rodentia; Sciuridae.